ACCCCUCCACCAGCCUAAUCUUAUUCCUUUUCUCCUCUCUUUCUCUCUCAGCCAAGAAACAACCUAGUGGGUUGUUGGAGCUGAAUUCUUGUUGUUGGAGCUUGCUCGAACAAAGGGACUAGCUGAGGAAGCUUUGGAACUCAGGGGCUGUUAAAAGUAACAACUUGGUAGUUCAACUUGUUGAAGCUGCCGAAUUGGAAGUUGGGUGGUGGAGUUGAUGCUGUGAAGAAUUUUGGGUGUCGUGAGCUGAGAGGAAAGCUUUUGGGAGUAGAGUAUCAGUUGGUAGGGCCUCGAAAUUAAGGCUUGUUGGUUGCUGAAUCUGGCAUACUUGGGCUCGAGUGAAGUUUCUUGCUGAACCGAGCUGGAGAAAGGAGAUUAAGCUAAGUACAGCUUGGUGGAGCUUUGAAUUCAGGUAUGUUGUGAAGCAGAAUCUAAGCUGUUGGAGCUGAAAGAAAGCUUGUUGAAGCUGCGAAUUGAGCGGCUGCACAAAGAGGAAGUAAAGUGCAGAAAAUUCAGCAGGGUGCUGAAAUUUCAGCAUAAGUGCAGAAAUUUCAGCAUAGUGCAGAUUUUGAAGUUGAGUGGAAAAGAGAGCUUUAGAACAGCAUUUCUCGCUAAUUGAAGCUGAAGGGGGGCUGCACAAAGAGAAGUAGUAGUGCUGAAAUUUCAGUAUAGUGCAAAAUUUCAGCAUUAGAAAUUCCUGCUGUGGAGCUAAGAACGAAUUAAUUGAGCAGUGAACUACGAUCGGCGGCGCACUAAUUACGGUAGAAGCCGUUCUAGCUCUAUUUACACUGAGUCGCGAGAGCUCGUUGUUGAUACAGUUCGAGACGUUGAUUCCAGUUUGUUGGCAUCUCUACAGGUGGGGGGUGCUAUCCGAAAUCAUUGAAUCACUCUUUAUGUCUAUGUUGCCUUCUUGAGCAUAUUUGUAUAUGAAUCAUGUAAUAUUCAUGCAUUAUAUGGUAAUUGGCAUUGUGUAGUUAUGAAAUGAACAUUUGGACAAAUCUCAUGUUAAGAACAGGUGAAACAUAGAGUGUGGACAUAGAACCCUAUGAAUGGGUGAAUUUUACUGUGGACUAUGACAAUAGUAAAUUUGGUGACAUCACAACUAGAAAUUUGGUUAGCAUUAAGAUUGGAAAUAUCAAACUAGCAUAAAGAGCUAGUUAGAGUCAAAGUGUGGCAUUGUCUUUCAUUGGAUCCUCUAAAAGAGGAUCAGAUCAU
Long non-coding RNA from Ananas comosus (pineapple), 1215 nucleotides. RefSeq lists it as uncharacterized. The transcript is spliced from 7 exons. The record is from RefSeq and is a predicted model, not a curated record. Lineage: Eukaryota; Viridiplantae; Streptophyta; Magnoliopsida; Poales; Bromeliaceae.